This 320-nucleotide long non-coding RNA is filed under the name Solanum tuberosum (potato). RNAcentral's name for it is "long non-coding RNA (STUB_LNC011051)". The record is from RNAcentral. Lineage: Eukaryota; Viridiplantae; Streptophyta; Magnoliopsida; Solanales; Solanaceae.
CUUGAUUACUUCAGAGUUAGCACCAUCUCUUUUGGGCAGUCAGCUAUGUGUCUUUCUCAUGUUAUUAAGCAUUCAAAUGUCUUUUAUUUUUAUGGAAAUAAAUUGUGAAUUAUUAUCAUACCAAUAAUUGAAUACACUUAUGGAGCAUCUAUACUCUCAAACAUUGUUGGACCUCAAUUCUACUAAUUACAGAGCUGAUCACAAAGAGAUGCAACAGCAAAUCUAUCACUUUUAUCGUGAUUCCUUGAAUUUCUUUCUCUUUGAUACCUAAUGGCCAUAUAAAUUUACCUUCAAAGUGUUGCUCAUUUUGGGUGAUUAAC